Molecule: ribosomal RNA, 253 nt
Filed under: uncultured bacterium
Lineage: Bacteria
Description: partial 16S ribosomal RNA
Rfam family: Bacterial small subunit ribosomal RNA
Source: RNAcentral
UACGGAGGGUGCAAGCGUUAUCCGGAUUUACUGGGUUUAAAGGGUGUGUAGGCGGACCUUUAAGUCAGCGGUGAAAUCUCCGGGCUCAACCCGGAAACUGCCAUUGAUACUAUUUGUCUUGAAUGUUGUUGAGGUGGGCGGAACGGGUCAUGUAGCGGUGAAAUGCAUAGAUAUGACCCGGAACACCGAUUGCGAAGGCAGCCCACUAAGCAACGAUUGACGCUGAGGCACGAAAGCUAGGGGAGCGAACGGG